RNAcentral lists this ribosomal RNA (253 nucleotides) under uncultured bacterium. RNAcentral describes it as "partial 16S ribosomal RNA". It matches the Rfam family "Archaeal small subunit ribosomal RNA", at positions 474 to 727 of the family's 1478-position model. The record is from RNAcentral.
UACCAGCACCCCGAGUGGUCGGGACGUUUAUUGGGCCUAAAGCAUCCGUAGCCGGCUCUGCAAGUCUUCCGUUAAAUCCACCUGCUUAACAGAUGGGCCGCGGAAGAUACUAUAGAGCUAGGAGGCGGGAGAGGCAAGCGGUACUCGAUGGGUAGGGGUAAAAUCCGUUGAUCCAUUGAAGACCACCAGUGGCGAAGGCGGCUUGCCAGAACGCGCUCGACGGUGAGGGAUGAAAGCUGGGGGAGCAAACCGG